This 72-nucleotide transfer RNA is filed under the name Sillago parvisquamis (small-scale sillago). RNAcentral's name for it is "tRNA-Thr". It matches the Rfam family "tRNA". From Rfam's summary of the family: Transfer RNA (tRNA) molecules are approximately 80 nucleotides in length. Their secondary structure includes four short double-helical elements and three loops (D, anti-codon, and T loops). The record is from RNAcentral. Lineage: Eukaryota; Metazoa; Chordata; Actinopteri; Sillaginidae.
GCGCCAGUAGCUCAGGGCCAGAGCGCCGGUCUUGUAAACCGGACGUCGGGGGUUUGAGUCCCCCCUGCUGCU